GUGGGGAAUCUUCCGCAAUGGACGAAAGUCUGACGGAGCAACGCCGCGUGAGUGAAGAAGGUUUUCGGAUCGUAAAGCUCUUUCGUUAGGGACGAACGUGCUCUUUGUGAAUAAUGAGGAGUAAUGACGGUACCUAAAUAAGAAGCCACGGCUAACUACGUGCCAGCAGCCGCGGUAAUACGUAGGUGGCAAGCGUUGUCCGGAAAUAUUGGGCGUAAAGCGCGCGCAGGCGGGAUAUCAAGUCUGUCUUAAAAGUGCGAGGCUCAACCUCGUGAGGGGACAGAAACUGGUAUUCUUGAGUGUCGGAGAGGAAAGUGGAAUUCCAAGUGUAGCGGUGAAAUGCGUAGAGAGUUGGAAGAACACCAGUGGCGAAGGCGACUUUCUGGACGAUGUCUGACGCUGAGGCGCGAAAGCUAGGGGAGCGAACGGGAUUAGAUACCCUUGUAGUCC
RNAcentral lists this ribosomal RNA (450 nucleotides) under uncultured bacterium. Its description in RNAcentral is "partial 16S ribosomal RNA". It matches the Rfam family "Bacterial small subunit ribosomal RNA", at positions 354 to 796 of the family's 1533-position model. The record is from RNAcentral.